This is an RNA transcript of Ziziphus jujuba (common jujube), 3026 nucleotides long. It is a transcript of the gene named inactive poly [ADP-ribose] polymerase RCD1, with no coding region annotated. Lineage: Eukaryota; Viridiplantae; Streptophyta; Magnoliopsida; Rosales; Rhamnaceae. The transcript has 8 exons. The record is from RefSeq and is a predicted model, not a curated record.
UUUUCUUUUUUGGUUAUUUUCCAAAAUUAUCCCAAAUCUUUAAAAGGUAAUUCUUCCAAUAUUUAAGCCCCUUUUUGUUUUUCAUUCUAUAUUUUCUUCUGGUUUUCAUUGUUAUUAACUUUUAUUUUCUUCUUUUUUUUUUUCUCCUUUUUUUUUUUUUUUCCCAAAAAGAUUAGGUUUUGGAUUUAGGAAUCUGUACCUGUUUUUGAUUUUUUUUGUGAAUCGGGUUCACAAUUCGUUUUCUUUUUAUCAUUUCAGAGGUUAAAUCUGCGUCUUAUAUCUUUUGUUUUUAUAAAAUUUAGGAUUUGUAUAAUCGUUGAAAAAGAAAAAAGUGAGUACUUAAUCCUGAAAAUCAAAGGCCCUAAAUUAGGUUUUUUUAGUAUCUAGCUGUUUGUGAAGUGUGAUUGUCAAGGUAAAUUUCCAAUCUUUGUGGCGAUUCAUAUCGAUUUGCUGGAAAAGAUGAAGACUUGCAGAAAAUGUUCACUAAAAGCGGAGUCCGUUUGUACAUAUUUCUCCAUGGCAUCAUUUCUCCAGUCCAAGAAUCCAAGAGAAGAAUUGUAUAUAUCUCUUAUAAUUAACCUUUAGGAUUUAGCUUGUGAAUACAAAUUCCUUUAGAUGGAAGCAAAACGGGCAAAAGCUUUGGAUAAUGGCCAGAAUAUGGUUAUCAAUUUGAAAAGAAAAUGUCCAGCUAGAUGUGAAGCACAAAUAGUUGGAGUUAAUCACAAGGUGUUGCCUCAGCAAUCCAACUUGAGCUCAUCUUUUGACAAGCUUGACAAGCACAGGUUUCUAGAUGGUUGCAGGACUAAAUGUAAAUCAAUCCCUAGGAGAUCUUUACUCAAGAACUAUGCAAAUUUUAGGAGAAGUGGGCUUCCUCAACGAUUUUUGUAUCAUGAAACAGGGGAAUGGAUAGAUUAUCCUCAAGAAAUCGUUGAGUUGAUAAGGAAACAAUAUCAGUCGAAAAACCCAGCCUUAGAGGUAAAUUUUAAUGGCCAAUGGAUUUUACUAGAUAUUUUGCAUAUGAUCCAGAUGGAGCUGAAAACGGGUCUAAUAAAGGACAUUGCUUGGAUUGAUGAAGCAGGUCAUUGCUUCUUUCCAGAAGUACUAACCGGUGAUUGUGGAAUGCACAAGUGCUGUAUGUCUGAGUUAAACAAUUGCGCUAAUGCAGAAUCUAGUGGGAACUGUGAGAUUAAAUUGCAGCUUGAGAUUGGAAUAGCUGGAACCAAUAGCUUUGACUUAGAGGAAUGCGUUGGAGAGUCCAACCAUCAUGCUAAGAGAGCUAAAAAUAAUCCAAAACCUGUCAGCAGCAAUGAGGAUCUGGAAGUAAAUGACCAUUGCAAUAAAAGAUCAGGUCCCACAAUGCAAGUGACCUGCGAGGAUAUUCAGAAGAACAAUGAACUUAUAAGCACUAAUUAUGAACAAACUUGUGGAAAACUGGAUUAUAAAAUGGUUGAAAAAAUGUUUGUUUCAGGCAUGUUAUCAAGUGUGGAGGUAAUCGAGAUUAAGUGUUGUUCUGACCAUUUGAUGCAAACUCAGAUGGAGCUCUUCCAAAAGCAGUUUGAAAUAACCAAGAAGAUUCGAGGGAAUCCAAAUAUCUGUUUAGGUUGGCUGGCUGCUAGUAAAGAUUCUUCAUCUAGCUUCAUGAUACAUGGGCUGGAUUUUGGUGCACCCAAAAUCAUGUCUUCAUAUGGCAGUGGAGUUCACCUGUCAUCUAUGAACUGUGCCCAUAUUAGUGCAAAAUAUUGUGAUGAUGACGAAAAAGGGGUAAGACACAUGGUUCUCUGUCGUGUCAUAUUGGGGAGUGUCGAAGUAGUAAAUCCUGGAUCUGGACAGUGUUGUCCCAGUUCUGGAAACUUUGACUGUGGAGUUGAUGACCUUCAGAACCCUUGCUGUUAUAUAAUAUGGAAUAUGAAUAUCAACACCCAUAUUCUUCCUGAAUAUGUUGUCAGUUUCAAGACAUCUUCCAGUUUUGAAGGGGUUAAGGGCGAAGUUAGCAGAAUAGAUGAAUGUGCAAUUGCUAAUCUUGAUGGUUCUACAGGCAAACAGAAAAUGGACUGCUUACAAGUUGAAUCAGGUGGAAGUUGUGAACCAGUUGUAGAUUUCGAGAAGGGGUCCCAGGCUGUUGGCCUUGGCUCGAACUCUUUGAAAACUCCUAAAUCCCCUUGGAUGCCUUUUGCUAGAUUGUUUGAAACUAUUUCAAAAGAAGUAGCUCCUGAAGUUAUGAAAUUGGUGAAUGUUCAUUUUGACCUAUUCAGGAGCAAGGAGAUCAGUCGGGAUGAUUUUAUUAAGAAGUUGAGGUCAAUAGUUGGAGAUAAAUUGUUGAGGUCCUCCAUUAUGAGUCUUCAGCGUAAGCCAUGCCCCUAAUCUGCAAGUACUUUGAAAGUGCCAAAUCAGGAACAAGAACUUUGAUGCUGUUGAUGAAUUUGGGGUGGAUAAAUAUCUGACUCUGGCGGGGUUAUUUAAUUUAUGUGGCUUUUUGGGAAGCCCAUUCCACAGCGCUCAUGACUCGGUGACCUACUUGUGGUAGUGGAAAUUCUCCCCUUGGUCAAAAACUUGGUUGGAUGUGGGAUUUACUUCACGAGGAGCGAUACAGAUGUAGAUAAUAUCAUCAGGACCUCUCUUUUCAUACCACUAGGCUUGGCCUUUUCCUAUUGAUGCGAUGGUAACUUGAGAUAAAAUGUCAGAAGAAAGCUCUUUACCUAGCUUCCUUUCCUACUAGACUUUAUCCUGACCUAUCGGAGAAAUGCCUAAUUCCCUAUUCAAGGCGGGACUAUUUUAAUGGAAUAAGUUUGCUAUUGAAUCAGCUAUGAUAAAGGGAGUAGAGAUGAUGAUAGAGAUCAUAUUGAGAAACAGAAGAAUUUUACACGAUAUGUUAUGCAUUUUUUAAUCAUUUUACGAAGAUUAUGGUCUUGUAACAAAAAUUCUGAUCAUGUUACUUAGUUUAUAGCAUGUUAUUCAUUUGUUGGUCAUGUUACGAAAAUUAUGAUCGCGUUACAAAAAUUGUGGUCAAUAUUACUAAAUUUGUUGCA